AAAGGAAUAGACGGGGACCCGCACAAGCGGUGGAUGAUGUGGUUUAAUUCGAUGCAACGCGAAAAACCUUACCUACCCUUGACAUGCCAGGAACUUACCAGAGAUGGUUUGGUGCUCGAAAGAGAGCCUGGACACAGGUGCUGCAUGGCUGUCGUCAGCUCGUGUCGUGAGAUGUUGGGUUAAGUCCCGCAACGAGCGCAACCCUUGUCAUUAGUUGCUACGCAAGAGCACUCUAAUGAGACCGCCGGUGACAAACCGGAGGAAGGUGGGGAUGACGUCAAGUCCUCAUGGCCCUUAUGGGUAGGGCUACACACGUCAUACAAUGGGCGGUACAGAGGGUUGCCAACCCGCGAGGGGGAGCCAAUCCCUUAAAACCGCUCGUAGUCCGGAUUGUAGUCUGCAACUCGACUGCAUGAAGUCGGAAUCGCUAGUAAUCGCGGAUCAGCUUGCCGCGGUGAAUACGUUCCCGGGUCUUGUACACACCGCCCGU
RNAcentral lists this ribosomal RNA (490 nucleotides) under uncultured bacterium. RNAcentral describes it as "bacterial SSU rRNA". It matches the Rfam family "Bacterial small subunit ribosomal RNA", at positions 903 to 1397 of the family's 1533-position model. The record is from RNAcentral.